UUAUAUAAAGUAAAAUUUUACAUUUAAUUUCGGCUUAAACUUAGGGUAUAUAAUUACCAUAUAUAAA
This 67-nucleotide transfer RNA is filed under the name Lasioglossum lativentre. RNAcentral describes it as "tRNA-Arg". Lineage: Eukaryota; Metazoa; Arthropoda; Insecta; Hymenoptera; Halictidae. The record is from RNAcentral.